CAGAGCCUUAUAGAAUCCAAUGAUCUCCUUUUUGAUAUCUUCAGCUGUAGUGAUUUUGGUACCCAUUGCAUUUGUAAGUUCAGUAAUCUGGUUAUGUUGAGUUCUCUCCUUCAUGACUGCAGAGAAAUAUUUAGUGUUGGAAUCUCCAAUCUGUAUCCAUUUUGCUCUGGCCUUCUACUGCAGAACACUUUCCUCAAUCAUUGACCAUUUUUCCAGUUCAGCAC
Molecule: long non-coding RNA, 224 nt
Filed under: Nicotiana benthamiana
Lineage: Eukaryota; Viridiplantae; Streptophyta; Magnoliopsida; Solanales; Solanaceae
Description: long non-coding RNA (NBEN_LNC010535)
Source: RNAcentral